CCUACGGGGGGCAGCAGUGAGGAAUAUUGGUCAAUGGACGAGAGUCUGAACCAGCCAAGUAGCGUGAAGGAUGACUGCCCUAUGGGUUGUAAACUUCUUUUAUAAAGGAAUAAAACGAGGCACGUGUGCCUUUUUGCAUGUACUUUAUGAAUAAGGAUCGGCUAACUCCGUGCCAGCCGCCGCGGUAAUACGGAGGAUCCGAGCGUUAUCCGGAUUUAUUGGGUUUAAAGGGUGCGUAGAUGGGUUGUUAAGUCAGUUGUGAAAGUUUGCGGCUCAACCGUAAAAUUGCAAUUGAUACUGGCAGUCUUGAGUACAGUUGAGGUAGGCGGAAUUCGUGGUGUAGCGGUGAAAUGCUUAGAUAUCACGAAGAACCCCGAUUGCGAAGGCAGCUUACUAAACUGUGACUGACAUUGAUGCUCGAAAGUGUGGGAAUCAAACAGGAUUAGAUACCCGAGUAGUC
This 460-nucleotide ribosomal RNA is filed under the name uncultured bacterium. RNAcentral describes it as "partial 16S ribosomal RNA". It matches the Rfam family "Bacterial small subunit ribosomal RNA", at positions 338 to 795 of the family's 1533-position model. The record is from RNAcentral.